This is a long non-coding RNA of Equus caballus (horse), 1045 nucleotides long. RefSeq lists it as uncharacterized. Lineage: Eukaryota; Metazoa; Chordata; Mammalia; Perissodactyla; Equidae. The record is from RefSeq and is a predicted model, not a curated record.
AUCUGUAAAACAACAGAGAAAGUUCCUGCAGGUGGUGGACACUGCAGACAAGGGUUGAGAAGCAGGAAACAGCAGGACAGCGUCCAGGAGUCUCACACGCAGACAGCUGAUGUCUGAGGAAGACAUAAAGGGAACCCAACACAAAAAUUUCAUAUCCUAUGAUGUCCAUUUUCCCCUCUUUAAUGAACUGGCUUUAACCCUGCAAGACUCUUCCUUAUCAGCGUCUACCUGUGAUUCUAGCGUUUCCCCAACAUCACUUCCAUCAAUUUUAUGAAACACUGCAUCAGGGUUAUUCAGAUCAUGAUGAUUUUUGUGGCCCAAACUAACCAGAGACACUUGGGUAAGGACUACCAGCUUAAGAACUGCCUACAGUUCAGCAUGGCUGGAGUGCUGGGUAGGAGGUAGGAAGCAGUGGGGAAACCCUGGCACUCACCAGUUGGAGACCUUCAGCAAGUACCUCUGACUUUCUGACAUUCCGAUUUCUCAUCCACCUUGAGGAAGCUGUCUCAAGAGGUCAACAAAACUGCACAAAUGAAGACGCUCAACAUUGUGCCGGGAACCUGACCAGCCCUCAGCAAACACUCAUGUUCUCCCUCUGCAUUGCCUUGUAUAUCCUAUAUUACAUUUGAUUGACUGACUGAUAUGUGCACUGGUGAGAUUUUGUCAUCACUCUACCACAUAAGCACAAAACCUGAGAGAAGAACUUAUGUGCUGCAGAGGGACAAAGCAAGGAGACAUUUGUCGAUUUUAAAGACAAGAGUUCCCAAGAAGCUAGUUUCCCAUUGAAUAGAGAGAUAAAAACAGAACAGGAAUGCGAGAUAUUACAUAUGCCGAGGAUGGUAUCUCUGAGACUGAACAGAGCUGGCAUCUGCAAGACAUGCAAAGAUUUUUUAUCCCAGGGCCAAGGGAUUCUGGAAGCCAGCCCUUCCUACAUGUCAUUCAUUCUAGAGAAAUAAAUAAAUUAGACAGUGAAACAGGAGAAUCAGUAUGCCUAAUUGCAGUCUUAAAAUUGAAUUUAUAAAUAAAAAUAAGAAAAUGGAGCACA